Molecule: ribosomal RNA, 497 nt
Filed under: uncultured bacterium
Lineage: Bacteria
Description: partial 16S ribosomal RNA
Rfam family: Bacterial small subunit ribosomal RNA
Source: RNAcentral
GAUGAACGCUGGCGGCGUGCCUAAUACAUGCAAGUCGAGCGAACAGACGAGGAGCUUGCUCCUCUGACGUUAGCGGCGGACGGGUGAGUAACACGUGGAUAACCUACCUAUAAGACUGGGAUAACUUCGGGAAACCGGAGCUAAUACCGGAUAAUAUAUUGAACCGCAUGGUUCAAUAGUGAAAGACGGUUUUGCUGUCACUUAUAGAUGGAUCCGCGCCGCAUUAGCUAGUUGGUAAGGUAACGGCUUACCAAGGCAACGAUGCGUAGCCGACCUGAGAGGGUGAUCGGCCACACUGGAACUGAGACACGGGCCAGACUCCUACGGGAGGCAGCAGUAGGGAAUCUUCCGCAAUGGGCGGAAGCCUGACGGAGCAACGCCGCGUGAGUGAUGAAGGUCUUCGGAUCGUAAAACUCUGUUAUUAGGGAAGAACAAAUGUGUAAGUAACUAUGCACGUCUUGACGGUACCUAAUCAGAAAGCCACGGCUAACUACGUG